AUGUUACAGCAUGGACUCAACGGUAGCAGGAUUAUAGUAACUACCCGAAACCUACGAAUAGUGCAACAAUUGCGCACUGGUUUUCUUGCAAAUGCGAGGAAAAUUCCCCCAGUUCCCGAGUCUGAAACAGUAGAGUUGGGUGUUUUAGAACCUGGUGAGUGCUGGGAAUUAAUGAAGCAAAGAGCAUUUGGGCCUGAUGAUGACCACAGUAGUGGCUUGGAAGAAAUCGGAAAGCAGAUUGCAGACAAUUGUGGGGGUUUACCGCUCGUGGCAAAUGCUCUUGGGCAAGUAAUGUCAGAGCUAAGGACCGCGGGAGCAUGGGAACAUAUAAGAGACACAAAGGAUGAGUUCUCGACCGAGGCCCGGUCCUAG
This 372-nucleotide ribosomal RNA is filed under the name Triticum aestivum (bread wheat). RNAcentral describes it as "partial small subunit ribosomal RNA". The record is from RNAcentral. Lineage: Eukaryota; Viridiplantae; Streptophyta; Magnoliopsida; Poales; Poaceae.